RNAcentral lists this ribosomal RNA (484 nucleotides) under uncultured bacterium. RNAcentral's name for it is "partial 16S ribosomal RNA". It matches the Rfam family "Bacterial small subunit ribosomal RNA", at positions 28 to 507 of the family's 1533-position model. The record is from RNAcentral.
AUUGAACGCUGGCGGCAUGCUUUACACAUGCAAGUCGAACGGCAGCGCGGGCUUCGGCCUGGCGGCGAGUGGCGAACGGGUGAGUAAUGCAUCGGAACGUGCCCAGUAGUGGGGGAUAGCCCGGCGAAAGCCGGAUUAAUACCGCAUACGACCUGAGGGUGAAAGCGGGGGACCGAAAGGCCUCGCGCUAUUGGAGCGGCCGAUGUCGGAUUAGCUAGUUGGUGGGGUAAAGGCUUACCAAGGCGACGAUCCGUAGCUGGUCUGAGAGGACGACCAGCCACACUGGGACUGAGACACGGCCCAGACUCCUACGGGAGGCAGCAGUGGGGAAUUUUGGACAAUGGGGGCGACCCUGAUCCAGCCAUGCCGCGUGCGGGAAGAAGGCCUUCGGGUUAUAAACCGCUUUUGUUCGGGAAGAAAUCCUCUGGGCUAAUACCCCGGGGGGAUGACGGUACCGGAAGAAUAAGCACCGGCUAACUACGUG